Non-coding RNA from Hyla sarda, 384 nucleotides. NCBI's taxonomy places the organism in Eukaryota, Metazoa, Chordata, Amphibia, Anura, Hylidae. The record is from the annotation of a RefSeq genome assembly.
AUGAAGACUUUCCUGCUCCUCUUUAUAUCACUGGCCUGCUUGUCAGGUGUCCAGUCUCAGCAACUUGACCAGUCAUCAGACCCAGUGGUGAUAAAGCCCGGGAAUUCCUAUAGAGUCUCAUGUACGGCUUCUGGAUUCACCUUCAGUGAUUACUAUAUGCACUGGCUUAGACAGAGUCCUGGCGGAGGAUUACAGUGGGUUGCUCGGUUUAAUGAAGUAGCAAGCUACACAGCAUAUCAUGAUUCUGUUAAAGGACGAUUCACAAUAAUCAGAGAUAACAGUAAUAACCUGUUAUAUCUACAAAUGACCAACAUGAAGACUGAGGACUCUGCCGUGUAUUAUUGUGCUAGAGAGAGAGACACAUUGAUAGAAGACAAUCUGUGA